This 2451-nucleotide small RNA is filed under the name Pan troglodytes (chimpanzee). RNAcentral describes it as "retained intron". Lineage: Eukaryota; Metazoa; Chordata; Mammalia; Primates; Hominidae. The record is from RNAcentral.
CUGCUCAAAAUUUGAAGCCUAUAUGCCAACUAAAUUCAGAAAUGUUCUCCAAAAUGCCAUCUAUAAGCAACAGUAGUCACAAAUGCAUUGUAAAAAUAUAUUGAUGAUGCUUUUUGGAAAGUCCAGCAUGUCCUGAGGAAGAAUGUAUAAGACAUAAAAGUCAUAAAUUAUGGAAAGACUCUUCAGCUUCUUCCAAAUGUAAAGGAAUCAUGAUCUUCCCAGCACAUUAAUGCCCUUUUCUCAUUAGAAUGUGGGGCCGGUCCAGACCUAAUAACAUUGUCUGAGCAGAGAAUCCUUGGAGGCACUGAGGCUGAGGAGGGAAGCUGGCCAUGGCAAGUCAGUCUGCGGCUCAAUAAUGCCCACCACUGUGGAGGCAGCCUGAUCAAUAACAUGUGGAUCCUGACAGCAGCUCACUGCUUCAGAAGCAACUCUAAUCCUCGUGACUGGAUUGCCACGUCUGGUAUUUCCACAACAUUUCCUAAACUAAGAAUGAGAGUAAGAAAUAUUUUAAUUCAUAACAAUUAUAAAUCUGCAACUCAUGAAAAUGACAUUGCACUUGUGAGACUUGAGAACAGUGUCACCUUUACCAAAGAUAUCCAUAGUGUGUGUCUCCCAGCUGCUACCCAGAAUAUUCCACCUGGCUCUACUGCUUAUGUAACAGGAUGGGGCGCUCAAGAAUAUGCUGGCCACACGGUUCCAGAGCUAAGGCAAGGACAGGUCAGAAUAAUAAGUAAUGAUGUAUGUAAUGCACCAUAUAGUUAUAAUGGAGCCAUCUUGUCUGGAAUGCUGUGUGCUGGAGUACCUCAAGGUGGAGUGGACGCAUGUCAAGGUGACUCUGGUGGCCCACUAGUACAAGAAGACUCACGGCGGCUUUGGUUUAUUGUGGGGAUAGUAAGCUGGGGAGAUCAGUGUGGCCUGCCGGAUAAGCCAGGAGUGUAUACUCGAGUGACAGCCUACCUUGACUGGAUUAGGCAACAAACUGGGAUCUAGUGCAACAAGUGCAUCCGUGUUGCAAAGUCUGUAUGCAGGUGUGCCUGUCUCAAAUUCCAAAGCUUUACAUUUCAACUGAAAAAGAAACUAGAAAUGUCCUAAUUUAACAUCUUGUUACAUAAAUAUGGUUUAACAAACACUGUUUAACCUUUCUUUAUUAUUAAAGGUUUUCUAUUUUCUCCAGAGAACUAUAUGAAUGCUGCAUAGUACUGUGGCUGUGUAACAGAAGAAACACACUAAACUAAUUACAAAGUUAACAAUUUCAUUACAGUUGUGCUAAAUGCCCGUAGUGAGAAGAACAGGAACCUUGAGCAUGUAUAGUAGAGGAAACUGCACAGGUCUGAUGGGUCAGAGGGGUCUUCUCUGGGUUUCACUGAGGAUGAGAAGUAAGCAAACUGUGGAAACAUGCAAAGGAAAAAGUGAUAGAAUAAUAUUCAAGACAAAAAGAACAGUAUGAGGCAAGAGAAAUAAUAUGUAUUUAAAAUUUUUGGUUACUCAAUAUCUUAUAGUUAGUAUGAGUCCUAAAAUUAAAAAUGUGAAACUGUUGUACUAUAUGUAUAACCUAACCUUAAUUAUUCUGUAAGAACAUGCUUCCAUAGGAAAUAGUGGAUAAUUUUCAGCUAUUUAAGGCAAAAGCUAAAAUAGUUCACUCCUCAACUGAGACCCAAAGAAUUAUAGAUAUUUUUCAUGAUGACCCAUGAAAAAUAUCACUCAUCUACAUAAAGAAGAGACUAUAUCUAUUUUAUAGAGAAGCUAAGAAAUAUACCUACACAAACUUGUCAGGUGCUUUACAACUACAUAGUACUUUUUAACAACAAAAUAAUAAUUUUAAGAAUGAAAAAUUUAAUCAUUGGGAAGAACAUCCCACUACAGACUUCCUAUCACUGGCAGUUAUAUUUUUGAGCGUAAAAGGGUCGUCAAACGCUAAAUCUAAGUAAUGAAUUGAAAGUUUAAAGAGGGGGAAGAGUUAGUUUGCAAAGGAAAAGUUUAAAUAGCUUAAUAUCAAUAGAAUGAUCCUGAAGACAGAAAAAACUUUGUCACUCUUCCUCUCUCAUUUUCUCUUUCUCUCUCUCUCCCCUUCUCAUACACAUGCCUCCCCCACCAAAGAAUAUAAUGUAAAUUAAAUCCACUAAAAUGUAAUGGCAUGAAAAUCUAUGUAGUCUGAAUCACUAAUAUUCCUGAGUUUUUAUGAGCUCCUAGUACAGCUAAAGUUUGCCUAUGCAUGAUCAUCUAUGCGUCAGAGCUUCCUCCUUCUACAAGCUAACUCCCUGCAUCUGGGCAUCAGGACUGCUCCAUACAUUUGCUGAAAACUUCUUGUAUUUCCUGAUGUAAAAUUGUGCAAACACCUACAUUAAAGCCAUCUACUUUUAGGGAAAGGGAGUUGAAAAUGCAACCAACUCUUGGCGAACUGUACAAACAAAUCUUUGCAAUACUUUAUUUCAAAUAAAUUCUUUUUAAAAU